ACCCACUGUUAGUGUGUAAGAUGGCAAUGUCCUGCUCUCCUUCUGUCGCUUGACCAUGUCACUUAACCAACCACACACGCAGCUCUCCAGGCAGGCAAUGCCAAACCUCCAGCUCUGACACCACAAAGAACGUUUCACCGCUUAAAAAACGUCCCGUGCACGCGCAUGCGCACAGAAUUCCAGCUCGGGGACCUGGAAGACGGAGGCAGCUGGCAGGGUCAACUCUCAGCCAAGGCCUGGAGAGAGUCUUUGCAGGGUACAGGCAGAUGCCUUACCUUGCCCAGGAGGUCCUCCAGGCUGUGCGCCAUGAUGCCUUUGCGAACCUUCCGAUCUGCUGUGCUAACUCGACAGGGCCUCGCCCUGGGGGCUUUCCGGCUGGGCUUAGACACCAGCUGUUGGGUCACCACGGCAGUGCUCACUGCCACAUGCCUGGGGACAUGAGUGUGAACAUCAGAUGACCUGCCUGUGGCCACUAGGUCCACCCACACCUGUCUGCUGAGUUCACGGCUGACCCUUCCAACCCAUCAUGGCUGCUCCAGGUGGCCUUCACAAAGCCCGUCAGAAGAUUCAUCUCCGAUUUGGAUGGGCAGGAAAAUCAGCGGGGAUCUUGCUUAAAUCAGCCCCACUUCCGUGCCUCUGAGUGGAGCCUAAGGGAUUGCGUGUCUGACAAGUCCCCAAGCCGGAUAGGAUGGCCUAUGUAGCUCUGACUGACUUGGAACUUGCUGUGUCCACUACAGUCUAGCCUUGAACUCACCAGGAUCUGCCUGUCUCUGCCUCCUGAGUGCUGGGAUGAAAAGCAUGUACCACCACAUCCAGCCCCUAUAUGGUUUUUAUACCUAGUAAAGUUUUCAAAGUUCUAA
Long non-coding RNA from Peromyscus eremicus (cactus mouse), 860 nucleotides. RefSeq lists it as uncharacterized. The record is from RefSeq and is a predicted model, not a curated record. The transcript is spliced from 2 exons. NCBI's taxonomy places the organism in Eukaryota, Metazoa, Chordata, Mammalia, Rodentia, Cricetidae.